AGCGAACGCUGGCGGCAGGCCUAACACAUGCAAGUCGAACGAACUCUUCGGAGUUAGUGGCGGACGGGUGAGUAACACGUGGGAACGUGCCGUUAGGUUCGGAAUAACUCAGGGAAACUUGUGCUAAUACCGAAUGUGCCCUUCGGGGGAAAGAUUUAUCGCCUUUAGAGCGGCCCGCGUCUGAUUAGCUAGUUGGUGAGGUAAAGGCUCACCAAGGCGACGAUCAGUAGUUGGUCUGAGAGGAUGAUCAGCCACAUUGGGACUGAGACACGGCCCAAACUCCUACGGGAGGCAGCAGUGGGGAAUCUUGCGCAAUGGGCGAAAGCCUGACGCAGCCAUGCCGCGUGAAUGAUGAAGGUCUUAGGAUUGUAAAAUUCUUUCACCGGGGACGAUAAUGACGGUACCCGGAGAAGAAGCCCCGGCUAACUUCGUGCCAGCAGCCGCGGUAA
This 449-nucleotide ribosomal RNA is filed under the name uncultured bacterium. RNAcentral's name for it is "partial 16S ribosomal RNA". It matches the Rfam family "Bacterial small subunit ribosomal RNA", at positions 29 to 523 of the family's 1533-position model. The record is from RNAcentral.